Molecule: non-coding RNA, 120 nt
Filed under: Polytomella parva
Lineage: Eukaryota; Viridiplantae; Chlorophyta; Chlorophyceae; Chlamydomonadales; Chlamydomonadaceae
Source: RNAcentral
AUACUUUUACAAUCGAUCUACUAAAAAUUAAAAAAUUAUACAUGUUAUACUCAAUGUAAUAGUUAAGAAACGUUAAAAACAUUCGCUGUAUUUGUCGCAUAGUACAUUUAAAGACAAAUG